UACGUAGGGUCCGAGCGUUGUCCGGAAUUAUUGGGCGUAAAGAGCUCGUAGGCGGUUUGUCGCGUCUGCUGUGAAAACCCGAGGCUCAACCUCGGGCCUGCAGUGGGUACGGGCAGACUAGAGUGCGGUAGGGGAGAUUGGAAUUCCUGGUGUAGCGGUGGAAUGCGCAGAUAUCAGGAGGAACACCGAUGGCGAAGGCAGAUCUCUGGGCCGUAACUGACGCUGAGGAGCGAAAGCGUGGGGAGCGAACAGG
Molecule: ribosomal RNA, 253 nt
Filed under: uncultured bacterium
Lineage: Bacteria
Description: partial 16S ribosomal RNA
Rfam family: Bacterial small subunit ribosomal RNA
Source: RNAcentral